CGCGUAGGCGGCUGUGGCAGUCGGGUGUGAAAGCCCGGAGCUCAACUCCGGAAUUGCACUCGAGACGCCACGGCUGGAGGCCGGAAGAGGAGGGUGGAAUACCCAGUGUAGAGGUGAAAUUCGUAGAUAUUGGGUGGAACACCGGUGGCGAAAGCGGCUCUCUGGUCCGGACCUGACGCUGAGGCGCGGAAGCGUGGGGAGCAAACA
Molecule: ribosomal RNA, 207 nt
Filed under: uncultured bacterium
Lineage: Bacteria
Description: partial 16S ribosomal RNA
Rfam family: Bacterial small subunit ribosomal RNA
Source: RNAcentral